AUUGAACGCUGGCGGCAUGCCUUACACAUGCAAGUCGAACGGCAGCGCGGACUUCGGUCUGGCGGCGAGUGGCGAACGGGUGAGUAAUACAUCGGAACGUACCCUGUUGUGGGGGAUAACUAGUCGAAACUCGGGCUAAUACCGAAUAGCAACUCUGCGGAGGAAAGCUGGGGACCUGGUAACAGGCCUGUCGCUUGAAGAGGAGCCUGCGUACGAUUAGCGAGGUGGCGGGGUAAAGGCCUACCAAGGCAAAGAGCUGUAGCGGGUCUGGAAGGACUAUCCGGCCAACAGGGAAUGAGAACAGGGCCAGACUUCUACGGGAGGAAGCAGUGGGGAAUAUUGGAAAAUGGGGGGAAGCCUGAUCCAGCCAUGCCGGGUAUGUGAAGAGAGGCUUUUGGUUGUAAAGCACUUUAAGCGAGGAGGAGACUACUAGUAUUAACACCACUGGAUAGAGGACGUUACUCGAAGAAUAAGCACCGGCUAACUAUGUGCCAGCCGCCGCCGUAA
Molecule: ribosomal RNA, 507 nt
Filed under: uncultured bacterium
Lineage: Bacteria
Description: partial 16S ribosomal RNA
Rfam family: Bacterial small subunit ribosomal RNA
Source: RNAcentral